This 22-nucleotide ribosomal RNA is filed under the name Bonamia sp. ex Ostrea stentina. RNAcentral describes it as "partial large subunit ribosomal RNA". The record is from RNAcentral. Lineage: Eukaryota; Endomyxa; Ascetosporea; Haplosporida; Haplosporidiidae.
AAGUCUCAAGUGAAGUAAGGCG